RNAcentral lists this ribosomal RNA (468 nucleotides) under uncultured bacterium. Its description in RNAcentral is "partial 16S ribosomal RNA". It matches the Rfam family "Bacterial small subunit ribosomal RNA", at positions 28 to 507 of the family's 1533-position model. The record is from RNAcentral.
GACGAACGCUGGCGGCGUGCUUAACACAUGCAAGUCGAACGGAAAGGCCCUGCUUUUGUGGGGUGCUCGAGUGGCGAACGGGUGAGUAACACGUGAGUAACCUGCCCUUGACUUUGGGAUAACUUCAGGAAACUGGGGCUAAUACCGGAUAGGAGCUCCUUCUGCAUGGUGUGGGUUGGAAAGUUUCGGCGGUUGGGGAUGGACUCGCGGCUUAUCAGCUUGUUGGUGGGGUAGUGGCUUACCAAGGCUUUGACGGGUAGCCGGCCUGAGAGGGUGACCGGCCACAUUGGGACAGAGAUACGGCCCAGACUCAUACGGGAGGCAGCAGUGGGGAAUAUUGCACAAUGGGCGGAAGCCUGAUGCAGCAACGCCGCGUGCGGGAUGACGGCCUUCGGGUUGUAAACCGCUUUCGCCUGUGACGAAGAGUGAGUGACGGUAAUGGGUAAAGAAGCACCGGCUAACUACGUG